This 513-nucleotide ribosomal RNA is filed under the name uncultured bacterium. RNAcentral's name for it is "partial 16S ribosomal RNA". It matches the Rfam family "Bacterial small subunit ribosomal RNA", at positions 28 to 523 of the family's 1533-position model. The record is from RNAcentral.
GACGAACGCUGGCGGCGUGCCUAAUACAUGCAAGUUGAGCGCUGAAGGUUGGUACUUGUACCGACUGGAUGAGCAGCGAACGGGUGAGUAACGCGUGGGGAAUCUGCCUUUGAGCGGGGGACAACAUUUGGAAACGAAUGCUAAUACCGCAUAAAAACUUUAAACACAAGUUUUAAGUUUGAAAGAUGCAAUUGCAUCGCUCAAAGAUGAUCCCGCGUUGUAUUAGCUAGUUGGUGAGGUAAAGGCUCACCAAGGCGAUGAUACAUAGCCGACCUGAGAGGGUGAGCGGCCACAGUGGGACUGAGACACGGCCCAAACUCCUACGGGAGGCAGCAGUAGGGAAUCUUCGGCAAUGGACGAAAGUCUGACCGAGCAACGCCGCGUGAGUGAAGAAGGUUUUCGGAUCGUAAAACUCUGUUGGUAGAGAAGAACGUUGGUGAGAGUGGAAAGCUCAUCAAGUGACGGUAACUACCCAGAAAGGGACGGCUAACUACGUGCCAGCAGCCGCCGUAA